Lagopus muta (rock ptarmigan) is the source of this 1376-nucleotide long non-coding RNA. RefSeq lists it as uncharacterized. Lineage: Eukaryota; Metazoa; Chordata; Aves; Galliformes; Phasianidae. The transcript has 5 exons. The record is from RefSeq and is a predicted model, not a curated record.
CCUGGCUGCACCUCUCUUAGACCCCAUUUAAGGGCUGACUGCCAGUAGGGAAGGAUCUCUUCAUCUGUGAACCUGGAAUCUUCUGAUACAGGAGCGCAAGUCACAUAUAUUUCAGUAUAACUCCUCAUAUGCACAUUUAAAUCAGAGGAAGCAUGACUUAUUUUUAAUCAGGGGAAAGACUGAAACAAUUCCACUUAGAAGGAGGUUACAAACAGGCUGAGUAUUGCAGCUGGCUGGAAAAAGUUUGUGCUCUGCAGGGCUAAGAUUUGACUCCAAAGCAAGACAUACUUUAUUCCUGUUUCUGAACUUGCACAUCCCUGGCUGAUCAUCUAACUUCCUUCAGCCUCUGGAUUUGGAGAACUCCCCCAGGGCUGUAGCACUCUGUCAUAGCCACAAGACUGGCUCCUCCUCUUGAGAAGUAUAUGUUCUACUCAUCAGUUCUAGAUGGAUAUCAAUAAGUUGUGAUAUUGUGUUUUCUUUUAGUACUCAUUCGUACAAACAUGUCAAGUGUAAAAUGUAAUAAAGAAAAAUUUUCAAACAGAAAAAAAGGAAUAUUUGUUUUAGAAUCAGUAACCAGAUCCUUAAUUUUGCAUAAGUUUAAGCAGGAAAGAGUUCACUGAAACAGAGCCAGAUUCCUAUGCAACUUGUGUGCAUGAGCAUUUUCUUCACAAUAGGAUGAGGCUUUUGAUAAGAGAUCAAAAUCUACGCUUUCCUUAUUAAAGUACAGAACAGAAGACUUAAUUCUAAAGACUUUGGCUUCUAGGCAGAUUCUUUACAGUCAUAUCUUUUCUUUAGGAGGAAAGGAACUGCAGAGAACAGAAGCAAUAGCUCAUAGUCAAAACAGACUAUAAGAUUUUUUUGCCAAAACUAGCUACUGCUUUUUUCCCAAUACUUGCCAAAAAGUUCAGAGUUAAUAAAGGUUAUUAAUCCAAUUACUUGCCUUCUAUCAGUAUUUUUACCCUUGAAACACAAAGAAUGCUGUCAUGAAAGAGUGUUCCUCAGAUUUUCCUCUCCUCUAUUUGUCUAUGCUUAAAAGUAUAUAUUAGGGUUCAUAUGACAGAUAACAGACAAACCAUAAAUUGCAGGUUAUGUACUUCGCAAUGAGCUCUGGCCUUAGCUAUUCUACACUGUAUAGUAUAAUUACUCUGUGCUGUAGAACAGACAAAAAAAGCAAGAGAUAGAAGGUGUUAAAGAUUUAGCAUUAUCAGAUUGAAAACUGUUGGUAGUCCCAGUAAAAUUGUGCUUUUUAUUGAGGAUUUCUUUAUCUUUAAAAUUUGUUGCCUACCAGUUGUACUAUUAUGAGCAUUAGUUUAGCUGAAACACUCCUCUAUGUAUAUUAUUAGUCAUUCAACAGUCCAAAUCAGCUGUUGUUUUAA